UACGUAGGGACCGAGCGUUGUCCGGAAUCAUUGGGCGUAAAGAGCGUGUAGGCGGCCACUUAAGUCCUGCGUGAAAUCUUGCGGCUCAACCGCAAGCGGUCGUGGGAAACUGGGUGGCUAGAGUGCGGGAGAGGAGAGUGGGAUUCCUAGUGUAGCGGUGAAAUGCGUAGAGAUUAGGAAGAACACCAGUGGCGAAGGCGACUUACUGGACUGUAACUGACGCUGAGGCAUGAAAGCGUGGGGAGCAAACAGG
RNAcentral lists this ribosomal RNA (253 nucleotides) under uncultured bacterium. Its description in RNAcentral is "partial 16S ribosomal RNA". It matches the Rfam family "Bacterial small subunit ribosomal RNA", at positions 524 to 776 of the family's 1533-position model. The record is from RNAcentral.